CGAGCUAAGCAAGGAAAGAAGAUUUCGAAUCAGAACCAGGACAUUUGUCUUGAUGAAGAUAGCAUCAGUUCUACAAUGACAUCUAGUACUCUAGGAUACAGGGACAGUUUUGGAGAAAAUGACGACAGUUGCUUUGAUUUGUUGGAACGGUAUGAUAACAGCUCAGCUAUUCUGCAAUUACUGCAGAGUAGGCGUAGAGAGAAUAGAAUUGAAGAAGACAUUCAACAGGAGGAGGAUGGCGAUGAAGGACAUGCUCAACAUGAAUCAAGAGAUCAAAAUACUUUUAUCUAAAUCUAAAUUCACAAAAUUACAAUCCUAAAGAAAAAUGUGCAGAACAGAAUGAGGAACUUUUUUCAGUUUGAAACAAAAAGAAUGUAAAGAAAUCAAUGAAAGAAUUUUGCAGUGUUUUUUAUUGAACUUGAGACGAAUAACUCAACU
Eurytemora carolleeae is the source of this 438-nucleotide long non-coding RNA. RefSeq lists it as uncharacterized. The transcript is spliced from 3 exons. Lineage: Eukaryota; Metazoa; Arthropoda; Copepoda; Calanoida; Temoridae. The record is from RefSeq and is a predicted model, not a curated record.